This is a small nuclear RNA of Artibeus jamaicensis (Jamaican fruit-eating bat), 107 nucleotides long. The record is from RefSeq and is a predicted model, not a curated record. Lineage: Eukaryota; Metazoa; Chordata; Mammalia; Chiroptera; Phyllostomidae.
GUGCUCACUUCUGCAGCACAUAUACUAAAAUUGGAAUGACACAGAGAAGAUCAGCAUGGCUCCUGUGAGAGGAUGACAUGCAAAUUCAUGAAGCGUUAAAAAAAAAA